GGGUGAUAUUUUAACUUUUUAUUUUGUUUUAGCAUCUUCUUUUCCAUUGAUAUUAUGAACCAGAGUUGUCCAGCUGUAAGGCUGAGGAAAUUACAAUCGGAACGUAAGAGUAAAAUUUAAAUUGUUCAUUCUGGAGUAAGCGACCCUUGGCAAGAAUAUCCGUCGGUUUGUUCUGUUUUCGAUUGACCCAUGUGAAUCUGCACUCCUGAAAUCGUUUCUUCGAAGCUUGAACAUCCCUAAUCCAAUUGAAAAUAUCAAAACG
This 262-nucleotide small RNA is filed under the name Arabidopsis thaliana (thale cress). RNAcentral's name for it is "putative long intergenic non-coding RNA". Lineage: Eukaryota; Viridiplantae; Streptophyta; Magnoliopsida; Brassicales; Brassicaceae. The record is from RNAcentral.